Oreochromis aureus is the source of this 851-nucleotide long non-coding RNA. Lineage: Eukaryota; Metazoa; Chordata; Actinopteri; Cichliformes; Cichlidae. The record is from Ensembl.
UUUUUCUCCAUCAAUCCAGAGAAGGGCACUAAAGUGGAGAAGACAAACACAUCCCAUCUUCACGUGAAGCCAAGAGUCCUUACCUUGAUACAGGAACUUUCAGAUUAUGAAUGGCGUGAUGUCUGAACAUGGAGUAAACACACUAACAGUUAUUUAAGGGGCCACACUCACAGCAUGAAGGUUUAUUUCAGCCCUUUAUCAGUGUAAGAGUGAAAUCACCAGAUCACAUUCAUGCAGAUAGACACAUCUGUUAAAGCAAAGAAGUGGAAUAUUCUCUGAUAGGUUCGGAGCUUGAACCCAUUCGCUGGAACGCUGAAGGCAAUGCUGCACUUGGUGGACCAUCGAAGCCCAAAAAGAAUAAGACCGGUUUCAGCGAUCCAGCUCCAGAGGUAACUCCAGCUGCUGGAACUUCAAAGGUUCAGAGUGCACCCGUCCAGACCGGGAGAAUUGAAAUCAAAUCCGUCUCAGCCAUCAAUAAAAACACUGCUCGGGUUAAGGUGGAGGUGAAGAAGCAGCAGGAGUUCUAUGUGUCAACUCAAAAACUGGCAGAGAUCCUCGGUUAUAACAUGGAGGACGGGGUUGAAGGCAGAAUCAGUCGUGCCAUGCCAAUCUCAGCCGAGGCUAAAAUGCGAGAGGAUCAGAUUGUAGAGAUUAAAGUAUUUUAAGAAGAACUCGUUUGUACAUUUUUCCUGUCUGAAACAAUAAAGCUCAGUUUUUCUGGUCAUGGUUUAAUUUGAAGGUUGGUUUGUGGGGUCAUUCUUCAGAGGCGCCAUCACCUGACCAACCACACGUAAGCUCAGGACAGAAACCGUGUGUCCUAGGGUCAGGGACCAAUAAAGAACGAGCUCUGU